UACAGAGACUGCAAGCGUUAUUCGGAUUCACUGGGCGUAAAGGGUGCGCAGGCGGCCAUGUGUGUCAGGUGUGAAAGCCCGGGGCUUAACCCCGGAAUUGCGCCUGAAACUACAUGGCUAGAGCAUUGGAGAGGGUAGCGGAAUUCACGGUGUAGCAGUGAAAUGCGCAGAUAUCGUGAGGAACACCGAUGGCGAAGGCAGCCCCCUGGGCUGAGAUUGACGCUCAGGCACGAAAGCGUGGGGAGCAAACAGG
This 253-nucleotide ribosomal RNA is filed under the name uncultured bacterium. RNAcentral's name for it is "partial 16S ribosomal RNA". It matches the Rfam family "Bacterial small subunit ribosomal RNA", at positions 524 to 776 of the family's 1533-position model. The record is from RNAcentral.